UAAGGAAUAUUGGUCAAUGGACGCAAGUCUGAACCAGCCAUGCCGCGUGAAGGAUGAAGGUCCUCUGGAUUGUAAACUUCUUUUAUCUGGGACGAAAACGGGAUUUUUAUCUCAAUUGACGGUACCAGAGGAAUAAGCACCGGCUAACUCCGUGCCAGCAGCCGCGGUAAUACGGAGGGUGCGAGCGUUAUCCGGAUUUACUGGGUUUAAAGGGUGCGUAGGUGGGCUUAUAAGUCAGUGGUGAAAUCUCCGAGCUUAACUUGGAAACUGCCGUUGAUACUAUAGGUCUUGAAUUAUCUGGAGGUAAGCGGAAUAUGUCAUGUAGCGGUGAAAUGCUUAGAUAUGACAUAGAACACCAAUUGCGAAGGCAGCUUACUACAUAUAAAUUGACGCUGAGGCACGAAAGCGUGG
This 411-nucleotide ribosomal RNA is filed under the name uncultured bacterium. RNAcentral describes it as "bacterial SSU rRNA". It matches the Rfam family "Bacterial small subunit ribosomal RNA", at positions 355 to 764 of the family's 1533-position model. The record is from RNAcentral.